RNAcentral lists this ribosomal RNA (402 nucleotides) under uncultured bacterium. RNAcentral's name for it is "bacterial SSU rRNA". It matches the Rfam family "Bacterial small subunit ribosomal RNA", at positions 356 to 774 of the family's 1533-position model. The record is from RNAcentral.
AGGGAAUAUUGGUUAAUGGGCGAAAGCCUGACCCAGCAACGCCGCGUGCGCGAUGAAGGCCUUCGGGUUGUAAAGCGCUUUUAAGUGGGAUGAGGAAGGACAGUACCACUAGAAUAAGUCUCGGCUAACUACGUGCCAGCAGCCGCGGUAACACGUAGGAGACGAGCGUUAUCCGGAUUUACUGGGUGUAAAGCGCGUGCAGGCGGCUUGGAAAGUUGGAUGUGAAAGCUCCUGGCUUAACUGGGAGAGGUCGUUCAAAACUACCAGACUAGAGUACAGCAGAGGGGAGUGGAAUUCCGAGUGUAGCGGUAAAAUGCAUAGAUAUUCGGAAGAACACCAGUGGCGAAGGCGGCUCCCUGGGCUGAAACUGACGCUCAGACGCGAAAGCUAGGGUAGCGAACG